UGUCUUUCAGGAGAAGCCUCCAGAAUCCAUUCAAGCAUUUGUUUGGAACCAGCUUUUCAAGAAUGACUAUGUGCAGAAGAAGCCAGUUCAUCGGGUCAACGACCUUUUGAUGUCUCAAGCUCAGAAUCCCCCAAGCAGGACAUGACAACUCUUUCUCACCAAAGAAACAUGCACCCUAGGAAGAGGCACGAUGGCUGGAUGGCUGUCUACACCUGUGCAAAAGAACCCCAGAGCUCCUCUUUCUCAUUAUUCAACUUACAAUCAGUCCCUUUCCUCUCCCCUCCUAAAAAUUCCUCCGCUAAUAACAGAUGAUCUGAGUAUAUCCCCUGACAUCCUUGAUGGUCACUGGUGCAGUAAAGCUUUUUCUUCUUGCAAAAAAACCCUGAUGCUAUGAUAUUGACUUCUAUGUUUAUUGGGCAGGAAGCCCUUACUGUCUAUCAGUAGCACCACCUCAGAGACCUUCCUUUGUUCCCUUCCUAAAACAUCCCCUUUUAUGAUUUUCUAUGUUGGAAAUCCUUUUUUUUUUUUUUUGGUGCUAGUUUGAUUCUUUUUGUCUUAGUCCUGGACUAUAAGGGUCCUGUAGGUAGGUCCUCUCUUGUUCAUGUCAUCUCUAGCUCCUAGCACAGAGCCAGGAUCAGAAAGAUGUGUGCUGCCUUUUUUGCAUCAAUCCACCAAAGCUGAAUAAAUUCUGAUGUGAAAGAGCUCACAGUUUAGUGCUGAGUGAUAGUAAACCUGAAAACAGUAAUUACUGUCACAGUUAUUUCAAAAGUUACUAUUUACUUAACAUUAAAAAGGAAAACCCCAGCAUGGUCAAUUUUAAAGAUUUUUUUAAAUUGUGUUUUUUUUAAAUUAUAGAAAGUUUCACAUGUUCUCUCAUUUAUAUGCCCAUAUACCAAUCCCUCCCUUAUUUGUGGAUGAUUUUGAAGCCAAUCCCAGGCAUCACAUGGGUGGGACAAGCCAUCUGCCUAGAGUGUACAUAAAAAGGAGCCCCUGUCCAUAGGUGCUAAUCCUUCCUUGUCAUGACCGGAGGACCCCAGAGCGAGGCCUUUGUCAGUAUGUCCAACUUUUCUCACUUAAGCAUUAUAUCAUUUCAUUUCCUGCAUUAUAUCAUUUCACCAGUAAGUAUAUGAGUACAUGUGUGUCUGUGUAAGACAGUAACUCUUUGAUUAAUAAAACCCAC
Molecule: long non-coding RNA, 1180 nt
Filed under: Marmota monax (woodchuck)
Lineage: Eukaryota; Metazoa; Chordata; Mammalia; Rodentia; Sciuridae
Source: RNAcentral